RNAcentral lists this long non-coding RNA (215 nucleotides) under Mytilus galloprovincialis (Mediterranean mussel). The record is from RNAcentral. Lineage: Eukaryota; Metazoa; Mollusca; Bivalvia; Mytilida; Mytilidae.
CACAGGACUUAUAUAAUAUAUAUAUUACGUAAUAAUAACGGAUAUAGUAAAUUCAGUAGAAUAUAACCUGUAUCAACGCACUGACUUGUUAAAUGUAUUUUGAACUGACAAUUGUUAAUCAUAUUUUUAGUUAUUUUAAAAUUAAGAAUGAAAAUCGGGAAUAUGUCAAAGAGACAACAACCCGAAAAGAACAGUUGACAGCCGAAGGCCACCAG